CCAGAAGCCAACCUACAAUGUGGCAGGUUUGUGCAGCCAGGAAGGGAGGUGCCUUCGGAGAGGAGGCGGGGCCGCUCCGGGCGCGGGCGGGGCCCCAGCUCCGCGCGCUCAGCCCCUCCCAGGCCGCGGGGGAAAGGAGGAGAGACCUACAUUUAAAAAGGCAGGAACCAGCCUAGCGCCGAGAUCCAAAAAUGCCCGGGGAAACCUCCACUCACUGUGAACACGUUUAAAAGAUAUAAUCAGGGGAGCCAAGAUGGAAAUGGGCAAAAUGGUGCUCUCUGCAGAUGGUUCAGGCACACCACCGCCAACCUGGACAAUGAUUAACCCGGGGAAGGAUAAUCUCAGUCCGUGGGGUAGCAGUGAUCUCUACAAGAGGCUGGUUCUCACGCAGCCCGAGAGCCCUUUGCUCCUGACUGAUCCUUUCUCUCUCCCUGUCUUAUAUUUUCUCUUUCUCUCUUCCCUCCUUCCUCUCUCCCAUCUGCUUCUUGCUCUUUCUCCUGCCCUCCCCGUCCUUCUUUUCUUCCUUCCUUUAUUUUUCAUUUUCAUUUUUAUUUAUUUAUUUGUAGUAAGGUAUAGUUGACUUAUAAUGUUAUGCCAAUUUCUGCUGUAGCAAAGUGACUCAGUCAUAACAAAUAUAUAUAUAUGUGUGUGUGUGUGUAUAUAUAUAUAUAUAUUCUUUUAAAAAUAUUAUCUUCCAUCAUGGUCUAUCCCAAGAGUUUGGAUAUAGUUCCCUAUGCUGUAUGGUAGGACCUUGUUUAUGCAAGGUAAUAGUUUGCAUCCACUAACUCCUUCCUUCCUUCCUUCCUUCCUUCCUUCCUUCCUUCCUUCCUCUUUCUUUCUCUCUUUCAUGCAAUGUGUGUGUGGGAAAGCAGAAACAGUGCCUGCACACAGUCCAGCUGGGAUAUUUUGUUCGCUGUGAUGCCCAGCAGGAGCUCUUCACCUGCUCCAGGAGAGGGGAGCAUAUUCAGGAAAGGCUUCCUAGAGGACAUGGCCUUGGGGCCCCCACAUAAAUGGGUAUGGAGACAAGUAAAGUCUUUUGGACACAAAGUGAUGCAUUCUCUGGUUCCUCCUGCACACUGACGUCUCUUCUCCUGUGUUGAAGCAUCACACUCUUCUACAAAGAACCCAGCAGCUUCUUUGAGGCUGGGCAAGCCACCCAGGAUGACAGCAAGCUCUGGUUUACUCAAAGCUGCCCCCCUGGUUAGCUCAGAUUCAUGGCUUAUUUGAGAAAUGAAUGAUUUAGGGUCUGCUGCAGCUGUUUUUCUCCUUAGAGAAGUUUUAGGCUUUUGUGGGGAGGCAGUGUUCUGGAAUGAACUGACUUCUUCCACAUCUGCACUCAGGCUUUGGGGACCAGGGGACCCUUGCCUGAGACCAUACACCUUCCAGACUUAGACGCAAAUACCUUUAUCAGGCCCAGCCCCACGUAACCCUAAAUGUAAAACAAGAAAGCCCUGCUGACUUCCUCCUUCUCCUGUGUACACAGCCGUUACCCAGAUUGGGUGUCUAUCUAUCUGCUGGGCUGGAAAGAAUAGAUGCUUUGUUCUCCUCUCCGUGUUGGAACAGCUUUUAUCCACACUGGGUUGUGAAGGCCCCCGACGCUCCUUUGGGGCCCUGUUCAUUUUUCAGAUUUACAUUAGAGUCUUGAAUUCAACAUUCAGAGGAGAUAUCACCAAUUUUCUUUAUGAAGUGUGCCAUGAAAUGAAAAAUUAAACUAAUGUCUGUUUUGUAGCCAGAAAGAGCCAUAAAUGUGCCCCUCGCUGACCAAAUUUGGCUUCUUUCUGAAAGUUAGGGUACACGUUCCCACAUCCCAUUAUCCAGGCUCUAAGAUGGUUUGCCAGACUGGUAGAAGAAUAAAUGACAUGGAUUUUCUCCUCCUAUCA
Molecule: long non-coding RNA, 1880 nt
Filed under: Sus scrofa (pig)
Lineage: Eukaryota; Metazoa; Chordata; Mammalia; Artiodactyla; Suidae
Description: lncRNA (ENSSSCG00025046419.1)
Source: RNAcentral